AUUACCGAUUGGGUGUAUAGGUGAACCUUCCUGAUAGUCGCAAGAUUAGAAGUUAAGUAAACCUUUACACCUAGAGGAAAUAAAAGUCGUAACAAGGUU
This 99-nucleotide ribosomal RNA is filed under the name Epistylis chlorelligerum. RNAcentral's name for it is "partial small subunit ribosomal RNA". It matches the Rfam family "Eukaryotic small subunit ribosomal RNA", at positions 1681 to 1801 of the family's 1831-position model. Lineage: Eukaryota; Ciliophora; Oligohymenophorea; Sessilida; Epistylidae. The record is from RNAcentral.